Nomascus leucogenys (northern white-cheeked gibbon) is the source of this 1902-nucleotide long non-coding RNA. RefSeq lists it as uncharacterized. The record is from RefSeq and is a predicted model, not a curated record. Lineage: Eukaryota; Metazoa; Chordata; Mammalia; Primates; Hylobatidae. The transcript has 2 exons.
CCCUGUCUCUAUUAAAUUUGACAAGCAUAUAUACUUUUAAAUAUAUAUCAUAUAUACACACAAAAACAAAACUUAGGAUGAGAAGUAAUGUUGCAAAGCACACACUUGGCUUCAGUAUGAGUAGCUGCUUCAUUUUCCAAUGGGAAAAAAAAACAAAAAACAACCCUGAGCAGUGUAGUUAGGAGGCACUGAGUCACUGAGCACCAUUCAAUUCCAACCAGCCUCUCAAUGCAGCCCUCCCUGCCUCUUGAAUUCUGCCCCAGAAAACUCAUCCCUGUCUAGGACUCAGCCCUGAGGGGCUGGGCUGGAAGGCUGCACGGGGCAGCCUGGUCCUGGUGAAAAGGACACUUUCCUGCUCCCCCACCAUGUCUUCCUUGGAAAUGCCAGGAAAUGGGCUCUGUGCUGAUCCAGCUAUUUGGGAGCAGUGUCAUGGACACAGGCCGAGGGACAGGCUUAUCAGCCAGUGGUGUCUGAGUCUCCCGACCUCCCGGUGGGGCCUUCUGGGCCCUGCCAGCUCUUUUGUUUUCCAGAGACCAGACCUUCCUCUCUGGGAGGACAGGGUGCCACACAGAAGCGGACAGUGACACUGCUGUACCCGCACAGAACUAGUUUAUUCAGUAGUAUGGGGCAUGAGAAAACAACAACAACAAAACGCUACCAUAUUUACAGCAACAACCAAACUGUACAAUCUGAUGGAAUUGCUGAGGGGAGAAGACAGGGGGAGAAUCCACGGCAGAAAAGACAGAGGCCGGCCUCACAAAUGAGAAACAGGAGCCUUUCUUUCCUGCCCACAGCCUCUUUUUCUAGCCACCUGCUCCAGAAGGAAAGUCAGUGACAAGUCUGGAAUACAUGCUCGGAGUAAAUGGUGACUCAGAUGAAAAGCAGUCGGCAAAACUGAGGAGAGGGGAGGAGAGGUGGGGAGAUGACGGCCUGGGGCAAGGGGAAGGGCGUCAAGCCCCCAAGCCAGGGCUGCUGGGAACACCCAGCCUGUGAUGGCCAUAUCAGACCCCCGGGACUGGACACGAACCCAUCCCAACACAAAAAGCAAAUAAAUAAAACAAAUAUAUUAACUCUCUCUUCACAGGGAGCUGGGGUGGAGUCGGGCAGAAAGAGGAACAGGACCUGGUCCUUUGAAGAAGAGAGCCAAUUCCAAGAAGGGGUUAAAAAUAGAACAUGUCUCAGAGGCCACAGCAGGUUAGACAAAGUAGCAUUUGUCCGAUUUUGGGGGGUGGGGUGGGUGAGUGGACACCAGAACCCAGACUUGAAACCUGUGCUUGAUUGAGCACCCUCAGGGCAGCCGAGCCAGCACUGUGUUUACUCUUCCUCCCCCACCCACACCACAGCAAAGAAGCGCAACUUAACACAUGACUGGCCUGCCCGGGGUGCGGGGCGGGCAGGAAAAAUGAAGCACUUUUGGGUCAGCAACUGAGCAAACACCUGGGCUGCCGCACACGGCCAGAGUCCAGGAAAAGGAGAGGGGCUGGGGCUGCCCGACCCCCGCCUGGGGGCACAGGCUCCCCUGAAAAUGUGUUCAUGCAGCAUUUGGGGGUCCAGGGGCGCUGAGUCCUUCUGCCCCCUCGCCGGACAGGGCUUUUCCAGUUCCUGGGAGAGGCAGCGCGGGCAGAGCGAGGCACACCCUUUGCCCUGGCCCUCACCGUUCUGACGCCUGCCCGGGUGCAGCCCAAAGGGUGUGACGCCCUGGCUGCGUGUGGCUUUGUCCUUUCCUUUUGGUGAUGGCGAAUGAGGGGCAGGCCCCCCAGGAGUCCCUCUCCUCCGAGAGGCACAGCAGAUGGGAAACUGAGGAGAGGCUGGGAAGCAUCCUGGGAGGUCCUAUCCUCUUUGGGAAGGGAAAGGGGAGUCAAUUUCCAGCGUAUAAAAAAAAUGAAUCCCUGAAGUCAUGAA